GUAAUACCCAUAGGUCAGACGGCCUCCGGAGCCGUGUGUGCAGGUUCGAAUCCUGCCGGGG
Molecule: transfer RNA, 61 nt
Filed under: Streptomyces sp. HNA39
Lineage: Bacteria; Bacillati; Actinomycetota; Actinomycetes; Kitasatosporales; Streptomycetaceae
Description: tRNA-OTHER
Source: RNAcentral